This 1489-nucleotide long non-coding RNA is filed under the name Toxoplasma gondii VEG. Lineage: Eukaryota; Apicomplexa; Conoidasida; Eucoccidiorida; Sarcocystidae. The record is from RNAcentral.
AAACCAGGGAUCUACGCUCUGUCCUAAUUCCUUUAACAAAUUGUUCCUCUCCUCUCACCUCGAAAAAAACAUAUACAUAUCUCUGUAUGUAUUAAAAGACGUCAUAUCUACCGGCGUCUGCUGAUUCAUAGGCAUUCACACCAGCAUCGCCUCAUGCGGACAUCCUUGAAGUCAUGUCUGCACACACCUAUAUGAACAUAUAGUGAUUCAUAUAUAUAUAUAUAUAUAUAUGUAUUUGUGUAUAUAUGUAUAUAUAUGUAUAUAUCUAUAUAUAUGUAUUUAUAUUUAACUGUUGUAUUUCUUUCUCGAGCGGGUCUGUGAGCAGACGGAGAGGCUGUUUGGUUUUUUUUUGGUGUGUUCUCUUCCGAAUGGUCUAUGCGGUCAGCGUUGAGGCAGCGUCAAGGAGGAAAAUGUCGAGAAAGCGAGCGAAGAAGGUUUUGAAGUCCGCGCUUGAAUACGCAAAUGGUUCUUCGCUGUCUCGGCAGGUUUGAGAGAGAAUUCAGAGAAAUGGUUUCUGCAGAGUUCGGCCUAGCGUCGCCCCCGUCAGUCCAUCGCUGCGCAGCGGGGCUCCGGAGCGCGUUGAGACCAAAGAAGAUAGAUGGGUGGAAGGCCGCUUUAGACGUAAAAAAUGCUGAAAAAGAUUGCCGUUCCAGAAGUGAGAGGUUCUCGUUCAGGUGACAGUAAUGUGUCAGAGGGAAGAAGGAGAGUUGGCGACAUGGAAGCACAAUUUGUCAAGGAAAAAAUCCAAGUUUAUCGAGACACAGUGAAGUCCCGGGCGUCGCCGUCGACGACUUGCAAGCCCACAACAGGGCAAAGAAAAGGAAAGAGGAGGUACUCUGUCUGCUUCGAGUCUUCAGUAAAAAGCGAAGACAGCAAUGUUCUUGCUGGCUUUUUGCUUUGUGUUCUUUUCCCUGUCGCGACCCGGAGUGUAAGAAAGAAUAACCUCGCUUCGACAAAGAGACUGGGAUAUCCCUCGAAGAAUGCAGAGUGGACGUCGCGCUCCGACACCCCACCGCGGUGACCAAACUGUUUCUUCGCCUCCAUGGUUCGAUGGGAAUCUUCAGAGAUUUGCGUUUCGACAGAAGAAUCAGAGACAAGUCCAAACCAGAAAACACGCACUUCUCCCCCUCACCUUCGUUCCAGUAUCUGGAUUAAUAAAGCAUAUAUAUAUAUAUAUAUAUAUACGAAUAUGGAUAUAUAUAUAUAUAUAUAUAUAUGUAUGAGUGUUCGCAUGUGUAUAUGCGGGAAUGCAAGCGUGUAUGUGUAAACAUGCUUCACCGUGUAUUUACUUACAGGAACACAUAAAUGUAGGAGUGUGCAUCUGUAUAUAUACAUAUUUUCACCGAGCACUUCGAUGUACACAUGUAGAGAGAAAUAUGCAUUUAUGCUUCUAUAUAAGUAUUUGUCAACAAAUGUAUAACUGUGCAAUGAUAUAUGCGUAUAUAUAUAUAUAUAUAUAUAUAUAUCUGUAUCCAUGUAUAUAGAUGGA